UACGUAGGCGGAAAAAUAAGUCAGUGGUGAAAUCCUGCAGCUCAACUGUAGAACUGCCAUUGAAACUAUUUUUCUUGAGUAUAGUUGAGGUGGGCGGAAUGUGUCAUGUAGCGGUGAAAUGCUUAGAUAUGACACAGAACACCGAUUGCGUAGGCAGCUCACUAAACUAUUACUGACGCUGAGGUACGAAAGCGUGGGGAGCGAACAGGAUUAGUACCCUGGUAGUCC
This 228-nucleotide ribosomal RNA is filed under the name uncultured bacterium. Its description in RNAcentral is "partial 16S ribosomal RNA". It matches the Rfam family "Bacterial small subunit ribosomal RNA", at positions 568 to 796 of the family's 1533-position model. The record is from RNAcentral.